UCAACGGACAGUUGCAAUCUACAUAAGU
This 28-nucleotide non-coding RNA is filed under the name Bombyx mori (domestic silkworm). Lineage: Eukaryota; Metazoa; Arthropoda; Insecta; Lepidoptera; Bombycidae. The record is from RNAcentral.